GCCAGGAAGCCGAUGGAAGGAAAACGAGCCGAAGCCAAGGGAAUUCAACGAGCCGGGAACCGUGGAAGGUUGUAGGACAGGAGCCAUCUGAAAGGUCGUCGGACCGAGACCAGGUGGAGGUCGACAAGCCAGGAAAACGGUGGUCGUUGGACAGGUGCCAAGGAAGGUCGUUGGGACGAAUCCAUUGCGAGCCGGCCGGAAUCCAUAGGAAGGUCGGCGAGCCGGGAGCCAGAGGAAGGUCGUAGUGCCAUUGGUGAGGCGUCGGGCCAACAGAAGAGCGUCGAGCCUGAACCAAACAAGGUCGUCGGACCGAGCCACUGGGAGGUCGUCGGACCCGUGCCAUGGAAGGUCGUAGGGCUGGGACCACGAAUGCGGUCGUCGAACCAGAGCCACUGGUAGGUCGUCGAACCGGAAGCCAUAGAAGGUUGGCGGGCCGGUAUCAUGAAACGUGGUCAAGUCAGGAUCCAGGUGGUGGUCGUUGAACCAGGAGUCUCUGGUGGACUUGCGAGCGGGGUACCACGGAAGGUCGCCAAGCCGGUGCCAUGGAAGGUAGUCGGACCGGAAAGCCAAGUGGAGGUCGUCGGGCUGGAACCACUGGGAGGCGCAGGCCUCAGGAAAGGCGUCGAGGCGAAGAAGAGAAUCUUCGAGCCACAUGAUGAGCACUGAGACCAGAGCCAUGGAAGUUCGUCGGGCCAGAGCCAUUGGGAGGUCGUCGUGCCAGAUCCCGGUGGAGGUCGUCGAACUGGAGUCAUGGAAGGUCAUCGAGUUGCAACAGGGGCGAGAGCGUGUUCCGGUGCGUGCGUUGAAGAGAAGUAGCCCCAUCUUCAGGAGGAGCCACCGGAGGCAGUUGAAAGACUGCGAAUGUGUAUGUUGAGGAGGAGUGUUGAGAUUUGUCCAAUCGAAGCAAUCGAUAGGACAAAUAACAACAUACACAUAAUAAAUAAACAAUCAAAUAUGUAACCAUACACACAAAACUUUCGGGGCUCCACUUAGCAAAAUUUCGCUGUUACUUUCCGUUAGCAAAAAUAUUUUUUUACUUUUCAGUUAGCACUUUCCCAAAUUGUCAUGACUUUUGCUCAAUUUGGGUAAAAAAAACCCCUUUGCUACUAAAUUGAGUAAUUCUAUUAGCAUGGACUCGAACCGCAGUCGUUUUUUCCGAGUGUCGUUCGGUCUGACCGUCUGACGCAAUUUCGAGCAGAAAAAAAGUGUUAUGAUUUCGUGUUUACGUGAAAGUGUAAAUCCCUCAUUGAUCAACCUGUUCCACGCAGAACCGCCAACCAACAAUGUCAGCUUUGCUGAUCGGUGCAACCCGAUUAAUGUACCUAUUGUGUUUCUGUUUUAUGUUCCCGGGGCAUUCAUCCCAGGCUGCUCCGAAAUCCACCUACACAGGUGCGGGUACCACUGAGCAUUCUUCCGGUGUGGAUGACAUUUGGUGAUCCGGCCAAAGAUAAUGUUGGGAUGUACGCCCGAGGAAGAGCUCAUAACAUCGCUGUAAUGGUGCGACCAAUCAACUCUUUAUACAAAAUAGUUAAACCGUUCCGGAAUUCUCCGCUCGGAGAUUUGGGGUGUUCGAUUGAUCCGGUAACGUUGCUGCUGCUCACGGAAGCCAAAUCAAUUCAUAGAGAAGAAUAUUCUGCAGAAUUCGCUCGCUAACGGAGAAGAAAAGCUUCCGAUGGCACACCACAGGUGAGCGGCCUUUAAAAAUUCAAAACGACAGCAAGCAUACUAGGAAGUAGUAUAAUUCGAGAAAGACGAGCAAUAUUGAUGAAUAAUUUAAGAAGACUACGACUCGCCAGGAGCUAGAGUGCUGCUCCUUUGGUGAUGAUGACGGUUGGGGCAAACCUCAACUUACAAUCAAGAAUGGCGUAAGUUUUUAGUUCAGUACCAACUUAUUCAAAUUUCUCUAUAAUCAUUUCGUUUUUAAGAACGCCAUUAGGGAACCUGUAAUAAACAGCACCCAGUAAAGAGAACUGGUCUCCAAAUUAAAAAAAAUCUUUCGAGCAGGAGGAAGAAAGUGAAGAUGAAGAAUCGCAUCAAGGUUCUAAUACUGGACAGCAAUCACAGAAUCAUCAUCGAAUCCAAACAUUUAAAGCGGGUCAAUGAAUCGCAAUGAAUAUGCUGACCAUAUCUUAUUUUAUAAUAUCGGUCGGCGCCUAAAACCUGAAUCUCCAAUUCGGACACGAUGAAGAAUGGUGCGAC
This is a long non-coding RNA of Uranotaenia lowii, 2199 nucleotides long. RefSeq lists it as uncharacterized. Lineage: Eukaryota; Metazoa; Arthropoda; Insecta; Diptera; Culicidae. The record is from RefSeq and is a predicted model, not a curated record. The transcript is spliced from 3 exons.